RNAcentral lists this long non-coding RNA (789 nucleotides) under Phasianus colchicus (ring-necked pheasant). RNAcentral describes it as "lncRNA (ENSPCLG00000004167.1)". The record is from RNAcentral. Lineage: Eukaryota; Metazoa; Chordata; Aves; Galliformes; Phasianidae.
UAUCUUUCCCAAUAGCCUUGAUGAAUUAACAGUCUGCCUUCCAGUCACUUUUUCAAAAGAGAGUUCGUUCCUAGUUUUCGUAUACUUUUUCACAGACCUCAACUCAUAGCCAUUACAAUCAUCUCUCUUUAAGAGAGCCCUGCAAAAAGAAAGAAGUUUGAGAAUUAAAGCAUUACUGGUAGAAAUGCUUAUCUGAGCCUAUACCUCAGUCCUCUCCUUUCUGUUGGUGUAGCAAUGGGAAUCAGAACUCAUGCAUGUGUGCAGGUUUCUCUUCAGAACUAAUGCUUGCUGAUGCCAAAGACAAAUACAUACUUCUGCAAUUGUCUUGUUCUGGAAUCUUUUCUGUAAUGUUAUUAGAUGUGCUGAUUUUUGAUGCUUUUUUUUUCCUCAGCUCCAGCUUUCUCUUUAAUAUAUAUUGGUGGAAGUGUAGAAAUUCCUAAUCUGACUUACACAAAUGAUUUCAAUGAUCCCAGCUCCCAGAAAUUCCUUCUGCAAGCAGAGGCAAUCCAAAAUUAUCUCGCAGAAUCCUAUGAGUGUUCCACCUUGGGAAAGUAUUAUUUGAAGUCCAUAGUGGCUGCUUUCAGUGAAGGAGAGUAUGGACUUCGAGCUUACUACUGGAAUACAUUCUGGGCACCACAGGAUAUUACUGGCUCUCUUAAAAAGUUAAUCCCAUUGGAACAAAAAGAAAUGAGUAGUAAACAAAUACCUCACAUAUUCAGUGCUUCUGGAGAAGGAGAUUUUGAUCUUGUUACAAUGGAGCUUUUUGGUAACAAUGUACCUGUCAUUUAA